This 253-nucleotide ribosomal RNA is filed under the name uncultured bacterium. RNAcentral's name for it is "partial 16S ribosomal RNA". It matches the Rfam family "Bacterial small subunit ribosomal RNA", at positions 524 to 776 of the family's 1533-position model. The record is from RNAcentral.
UACGGGGGGGGCAAGCGUUGUUCGGAAUUACUGGGCGUAAAGGGCUCGUAGGCGGCCAACUAAGUCGGAUGUGAAAUCCCCAGGCUCAACUUGGGAACUGCAUCCGAUACUGGAUGGCUUGAAUUCGGGAGAGGGAUGCAGAAUUCCAGGUGUAGCGGUGAAAUGCGUAGAGAUCGGGUGGAACACCAGCGGCGAAGGCGGCAUCCUGGCCCUGUACUGACGCUGAGGCGCGAUAGCGUGGGGAGCAAACGGG